This 273-nucleotide small RNA is filed under the name Arabidopsis thaliana (thale cress). RNAcentral's name for it is "ATSL083760". The record is from RNAcentral. Lineage: Eukaryota; Viridiplantae; Streptophyta; Magnoliopsida; Brassicales; Brassicaceae.
AAAAACGUAUCAUUACUUUCACAUCACGUUCUCAAGUGUAAUUAAUAGGAUUAACACGAAUUUCUUACCCAGAACACAGAUUGUCUCCCCUUCAAUCCUUCAAACUUUGUAAAACAGCAACUGAAAACUUCAGAUUCUUCACCGUAACACAAUUUCGAUUUUCGUUUCUUCACCGUAACACAAUUUUUCGAUUUUUGUUUUUUUCCCAGAAUUCUAAUCUAAAUUAUCUAAAUAUCUUACAAUAUAAUCUCUAUUAUAAUAGGUAAUCAUGAC